This 449-nucleotide ribosomal RNA is filed under the name uncultured bacterium. Its description in RNAcentral is "partial 16S ribosomal RNA". It matches the Rfam family "Bacterial small subunit ribosomal RNA", at positions 338 to 795 of the family's 1533-position model. The record is from RNAcentral.
CCUACGGGUGGCUGCAGUGGGGAAUUUUGGACAAUGGGGGCAACCCUGAUCCAGCCAUGCCGCGUGCGGGAAGAAGGCCUUCGGGUUGUAAACCGCUUUUGUCGGGGAAGAAAUCCUCUGGGCUAAUACCUCGGGGGCAUGACGGUACCCGGAGAAUAAGCACCGGCUAACUACGUGCCAGCAGCCGCGGUAAUACGUAGGGUGCAAGCGUUAAUCGGACUUACUGGGCGGAAAGUGUACGACAGAUGUGAAAUCCCCGGGCUCAACCCAGGAACUGCAUUUGUGACUGCAAGGCUGGAGUGCGGCAGAGGGGGAUGGAAUUCCGCGUGUAGCAGUGAAAUGCGUAGAUAUGCGGAGGAACACCGAUGGCGAAGGCAAUCCCCUGGGCCUGCACUGACGCUCAUGCACGAAAGCGUGGGGAGCAAACAGGAUUAGAUACCCCGGUAGUC